GAAAUGCGAUAAGUAAUGUGAAUUGCAGAAUUCAGUGAAUCAUCGAAUCUUUGAACGCACAUUGCGCCCACUAGUAUUCUGGUGGGCAUGCCUGUUCGAGCGUCAUUACAACCCUUACGCCUCUGUUGCGUAGCGUUGGGAGUCCUGCACCGCCUUGGCGUGGUACACUCCCCAAAGUCAGUGGCAGAGUCACGGCACACUCUGAGCGUAGUAAUUCAUAUCUCGCUUCUGCUGGUGCCAUGGCGAUCGCCAUAAGCCUUCUAUUUUCUAGUGGUUGACCUCGGAUCAGGUAGGAAUACCCGCUGAACUUAA
This 312-nucleotide unclassified non-coding RNA is filed under the name uncultured Microdochiaceae. Its description in RNAcentral is "sequence contains ITS1". The stretch from base 1 to 105 matches the Rfam family "5.8S ribosomal RNA", at positions 50 to 154 of the family's 154-position model. Lineage: Eukaryota; Fungi; Ascomycota; Sordariomycetes; Xylariales; Microdochiaceae. The record is from RNAcentral.